UGGGAUCAAUGAUAACGGCACAACAGA
Molecule: non-coding RNA, 27 nt
Filed under: Mus musculus (house mouse)
Lineage: Eukaryota; Metazoa; Chordata; Mammalia; Rodentia; Muridae
Source: RNAcentral